RNAcentral lists this ribosomal RNA (425 nucleotides) under uncultured bacterium. Its description in RNAcentral is "bacterial SSU rRNA". It matches the Rfam family "Bacterial small subunit ribosomal RNA", at positions 358 to 774 of the family's 1533-position model. The record is from RNAcentral.
GGAAUCUUCCGCAAUGGGCGAAAGCCUGACGGAGCAACGCCGCGUGAGUGAAGCAGGGUUUCGGCUCGUAAAGCUCUGUUGACGGGGACGAAUGUGCGAAAUGCGAAUAGUUUUUCGCAAUGACGGUACCCGUCGAGGAAGCCACGGCUAACUACGUGCCAGCAGCCGCGGUAAUACGUAGGUGGCAAGCGUUAUCCGGAUUUAUUGGGCGUAAAGCGAGCGCAGGCGGUUUGAUAAGUCUGAUGUGAAAGCCUUUGGCUUAACCAAAGAAGUGCAUCGGAAACUGUCAGACUUGAGUGCAGAAGAGGACAGUGGAACUCCAUGUGUAGCGGUGGAAUGCGUAGAUAUAUGGAAGAACACCAGUGGCGAAGGCGGCUGUCUGGUCUGCAACUGACGCUGAGGCUCGAAAGCAUGGGUAGCGAACA